Molecule: transfer RNA, 73 nt
Filed under: Schistocephalus solidus
Lineage: Eukaryota; Metazoa; Platyhelminthes; Cestoda; Diphyllobothriidea; Diphyllobothriidae
Rfam family: tRNA
About the family: Transfer RNA (tRNA) molecules are approximately 80 nucleotides in length. Their secondary structure includes four short double-helical elements and three loops (D, anti-codon, and T loops).
Source: Rfam by way of RNAcentral
GAGCCCGUAGCUCAAUGGUGAGAGCGUUCGACUUCUGACCAAAAGGUCGCGUGUUCGAUCCUCGGGUGGUUCA